RNAcentral lists this ribosomal RNA (274 nucleotides) under uncultured bacterium. RNAcentral's name for it is "partial 16S ribosomal RNA". It matches the Rfam family "Bacterial small subunit ribosomal RNA", at positions 523 to 796 of the family's 1533-position model. The record is from RNAcentral.
AUACGGAGGAUGCGAGCGUUAUCCGGAAUCAUUGGGUUUAAAGGGUCCGCAGGCGGUCAAUUAAGUCAGAGGUGAAAGCCCAUCGCUCAACGAUGGAACUGCCUUUGAUACUGGUUGACUUGAGUUAUACGGAAGUAGAUAGAAUAAGUAGUGUAGCGGUGAAAUGCAUAGAUAUUACUUAGAAUACCGAUUGCGAAGGCAGUCUACUACGUAUAUACUGACGCUGAGGGACGAAAGCGUGGGGAGCGAACAGGAUUAGAAACCCCAGUAGUCC